GUGAAACACAGAGAGACAGAGAGACUCGCUGCGCUCCGCCGUGUCUCUCUGUUCGCUCCUGUAAUGUCCACUGUUCCUGUUAAAUUGUUUAAGAUGAAAGUAGCAUGUUGACAUGCAUACUUUACACUAUUCUCAUUUGUUGACUGAGUCAUCUUGUUGCUUCUGUUCUCGCAGUGUUGAUUUUUAGCUGCCCACAGAGAGGUUCUGACCACCUACUCCCGCAAGAUUUGCACUGGGUCCCGCGAGACUCAAACCCAAUGCAGCCCUCUACAACACAGUAAUACCUUCUAAUCUGGAUCCGAAUGUUCUGUAGUAUUUUUGAGACUUAACUUUAAAGUGGUGUUGUGCUUCCAGAUGACUUGCAGGGUUCUAGCUAGCACAAACUUGCGUUACGGCCCGUUACGCUAUAAUUUUGGACCGUUACGCUUAUU
Molecule: long non-coding RNA, 431 nt
Organism: Thalassophryne amazonica
Lineage: Eukaryota; Metazoa; Chordata; Actinopteri; Batrachoidiformes; Batrachoididae
Exons: 3
Source: RefSeq, a predicted model, not a curated record